Cannabis sativa is the source of this 899-nucleotide long non-coding RNA. RefSeq lists it as uncharacterized. The record is from RefSeq and is a predicted model, not a curated record. NCBI's taxonomy places the organism in Eukaryota, Viridiplantae, Streptophyta, Magnoliopsida, Rosales, Cannabaceae. The transcript is spliced from 2 exons.
AAACCCAUUUCUUUCACCCUCUCUCUCGUUCUUCUUCUUCUUCUCCUAAAACACUGGUUCUUCUUCCCCUUCUUCUUCCUUAAUCAAACCAUCAAACCCAUUUUGGUUUUACUGAAACUGACCACCACCACCACUUCUUCCCCUUCUUCCUCCUUAAUCAAACCCACGAAGACCAGCAAUUUCGAAACCACCACCACCAUUUUCUAUUUUUCUUCUUCUUCAUCUUCUUCAUAUAAUCGGCAUCCACCACCACCAACAUCCUUCGAAACCACCACUUCAUCUUCUUCAUUAUUUUCUAUUUUUGUUCUUCUUCAUCUUCUUCAUCUCUUUUUCUGUUCUUCUUCUUCUUCUCGCCCAGCCCGUCUAACUGUAUUUUUUCUUCUUCUUCUUGCAGGUGGCUGUUGGAUAUGGGAAGAUCUGGGUUGAGUCCAGUUAGAUCUAGACUGGGGUCAGUCGAAUCUGGACCGGGUUCGCUUAAUCUCUCCUUCUUCUCAAGCUGAGCUUCGACGGAAAGAGGCGAGAUAGUGGUGGCCUUCGUUUUGAUCGCCGGUGAUGGGAGGCAGCGGUGUGGGUGGCUGGGGGAGAGAAAGGAAUAGAUUGUGGCUGUUGAUGAUCAUGGAUGGUAAUGGAGAUGGGCAGUUGUAGUGAUGAUGGUGGUCGGUUGUGGAUGAUGAUGCAAAUGAUAGUUAUGGUGAUGAUGGUGGAUGAACCAGAGAGAUCCAAGAAGAAAAGAAAAAAAAAAUAAUAACUUAUUUUAUUUUAUUUAUUUUUAAUUUUAAAUUUUUUUUUGUAUAUAUUUAAUUAUUAUUUUAUUUUAUUUUUGUAAAUAGUUUUGUAAUUUUUUUUUUAUUUUUUUAAAAUAUUUAUUUAUGUGGACCAAUUAAAUUGUGCCACGUGUA